GGUUAAGCGACUAAGCGUACACGGUGGAUGCCCUGGCAGUCAGAGGCGAUGAAGGACGUGCUAAUCUGCGAAAAGCGUCGGUAAGGUGAUAUGAACCGUUAUAGCCGGCGAUGUCCGAAUGGGGAAACCCAGUGCAAUUCGUUGCACUAUCGUUAACUGAAUACAUAGGUUAACGAGGCGAACCGGGGGAACUGAAACAUCUAAGUACCCCGAGGAAAAGAAAUCAACCGAGAUUCCCCCAGUAGCGGCGAGCGAACGGGGAGCAGCCCGGAGUCUGAAUCAGCUUGUGUGUUAGUGGAAGCGUCUGGAAAGUCGCAGGGUACAGGGUGAUACUCCCGUACACUAAAACACACAGGUUGUGAACUCGAAGAGUAGGGCGGGACACGUGGUAUCCUGUCUGAAUAUGGGGGGACCAUCCUCCAAGGCUAAAUACUCCUGACUGACCGAUAGUGAACCAGUACCGUGAGGGAAAGGCGAAAAGAACCCCGGCGAGGGGAGUGAAAAAGAACCUGAAACCGUGUACGUACAAGCAGUAGGAGCCCCACCACCAAAGCGUUUCGCUUUGCGUGGUGCGCAAAAUGCGUAACGACAGCGCGAUGGACGGUUAACGGAGCGUAAGCGACGUUCAACAUCAAAAAUCAGGCAGUGGAGCGUUUUGGGGUGGGGUGACUGCGUACCUUUUGUAUAAUGGGUCAGCGACUUAUAUUCUGUAGCAAGGUUAACCGUAUAGGGGAGCCGCAGGGAAACCGAGUCUUAACUGGGCGUUAAGUUGCAGGGUACUGGAGGACCGAACCGACUAAUGUUGAAAAAUUAGCGGAUGACUUGUGGCUGGGGGUGAAAGGCCAAUCAAACCGGGAGAUAGCUGGUUCUCCCCGAAAGCUAUUUAGGUAGCGCCUCGUGAAUUCAUCUUCGGGGGUAGAGCACUGUUUCGGCUAGGGGGUCAUCCCGACUUACCAACCCGAUGCAAACUACGAAUACCGAAGAAUGUUAUCACGGGAGACACACGGCGGGUGCUAACGUCCGUCGUGAAGAGGGAAACAACCCAGACCGCCAGCUAAGGUCCCAAAGUCAUGGUUAAGUGGGAAACGAUGUGGGAAGGCCCAGACAGCCAGGAUGUUGGCUUAGAAGCAGCCAUCAUUUAAAGAAAGCGUAAUAGCUCACUGGUCGAGUCGGCCUGCGCGGAAGAUGUAACGGGGCUAAACCAUGCACCGAAGCUGCGGCAGCGACACUAUGUGUUGUUGGGUAGGGGAGCGUUCUGUAAGCCGUUGAAGGUGGCCUGUGAGGGUUGCUGGAGGUAUCAGAAGUGCGAAUGCUGACAUAAGUAACGAUAAUGCGGGUGAAAAACCCGCACGCCGGAAGACCAAGGGUUCCUGUCCAACGUUAAUCGGGGCAGGGUGAGUCGACCCCUAAGGCGAGGCCGAAAGGCGUAGUCGAUGGGAAACAGGUUAAUAUUCCUGUACUCGGUGUUACUGCGAAGGGGGGACGGAGAAGGCUAUGUUGGCCGGGCGACGGUUGUCCCGGUUUAAGCAUGUAGGCGGAUGUUCCAGGUAAAUCCGGAACGUCACUAACGCUGAGGUGUGAUGACGAGGCACUACGGUGCUGAAGUGACAAAUGCCCUGCUUCCAGGAAAAGCCUCUAAGCAUCAGGUAACAUCAAAUCGUACCCCAAACCGACACAGGUGGUCAGGUAGAGAAUACCAAGGCGCUUGAGAGAACUCGGGUGAAGGAACUAGGCAAAAUGGUGCCGUAACUUCGGGAGAAGGCACGCUGAUGGUAAGUGAAGUGACUUGCUCAUGGAGCUGAAAUCAGUCGAAGAUACCAGCUGGCUGCAACUGUUUAUUAAAAACACAGCACUGUGCAAACACGAAAGUGGACGUAUACGGUGUGACGCCUGCCCGGUGCCGGAAGGUUAAUUGAUGGGGUUAUCCGUAAGGAGAAGCUCUUGAUCGAAGCCCCGGUAAACGGCGGCCGUAACUAUAACGGUCCUAAGGUAGCGAAAUUCCUUGUCGGGUAAGUUCCGACCUGCACGAAUGGCGUAAUGAUGGCCAGGCUGUCUCCACCCGAGACUCAGUGAAAUUGAACUCGCUGUGAAGAUGCAGUGUACCCGCGGCAAGACGGAAAGACCCCGUGAACCUUUACUAUAGCUUGACACUGAACACUGGUCCUUGAUGUGUAGGAUAGGUGGGAGGCUUUGAAGUGUGGACGCCAGUCUGCAUGGAGCCAUCCUUGAAAUACCACCCUUUAAUGGCUGGUGUUCUAACGUGGGCCCCUAAUCGGGGUUGCGGACAGUGUCUGGUGGGUAGUUUGACUGGGGCGGUCUCCUCCUAAAGAGUAACGGAGGAGCACGAAGGUCAGCUAAUCCUGGUCGGACAUCAGGAGGUUAGUGCAAUGGCAUAAGCUGGCUUGACUGCGAGCGUGACGGCGCGAGCAGGUGCGAAAGCAGGUCAUAGUGAUCCGGUGGUUCUGAAUGGAAGGGCCAUCGCUCAACGGAUAAAAGGUACUCCGGGGAUAACAGGCUGAUACCGCCCAAGAGUUCAUAU
This 2539-nucleotide ribosomal RNA is filed under the name Klebsiella michiganensis. RNAcentral's name for it is "partial 23S ribosomal RNA". It matches the Rfam family "Bacterial large subunit ribosomal RNA", at positions 1 to 2505 of the family's 2925-position model. The record is from RNAcentral. Lineage: Bacteria; Pseudomonadati; Pseudomonadota; Gammaproteobacteria; Enterobacterales; Enterobacteriaceae.